CUACCUCGCUGGGACCCGGGUCUUGCUGUCCCCUGCUGGCCUCCUGCCCAAGCGACUGCGGCCAGGAUGGGCCGGAAGGUGACCGUGGCCACCUGCGCACUCAACCAGUGGGCCCUUGACUUCGAGGGCAAUUUGCAAAGGAUUUUAAAGAGUAUUGAAAGUGCCAAAAACAGAGGAGCAAGAUACAGGCUUGGACCAGAGCUGGAAAUAUGCGGCUACGGAUGUUGGGAUCAUUAUUACGAGUCGGACACCCUCUUGCACUCGUUUCAAGUCCUAGCGGCCCUUCUGGAGUCUCCCGUCACUCAGGACAUCAUCUGCGACGUGGGGAUGCCUGUAAUGCACCGGAACGUCCGCUACAACUGCAGAGUGAUAUUCCUCAACAGGAAGAUCCUGCUCAUCAGACCCAAGAUGGCCUUGGCCAACGAAGGCAACUACCGUGAGCUGCGCUGGUUCACCCCGUGGUCGAGGAGUCGGUGAGUUGGGUGUCUGACCGCUCCUGGGAUGUGCAUUAAGCACCUCCGCUGUGUGUAGCCUUGGGUCCUGAUCAUGGGAGUGUUACUGGUGGAGGGUGUCCAGGUUCUUGACAUUUUGAACAAAGAAUGGGACAAGAAGCACAAACAAAGCAAAAAAAGAAUGAAGCAACCAAAGGAGAGAGUGAUUGAAAAUGAAAGCCCUCUCCACAGGGUGGGCGUGGUCCCAGCAGGGGCUCAGGGCGCGGUUACACAGUGUUCUGGGGUUUACAUAUCCUCUAGAGGCUUCCCAUCGGUUACUUGGUAUGCGCCCCAUGUAAAUGAAGAGGCUGAAGUGAAGUUACAAAGUUAUUUACUUGGUGUACGCAC
RNAcentral lists this small RNA (839 nucleotides) under Pongo abelii (Sumatran orangutan). RNAcentral describes it as "retained intron". Lineage: Eukaryota; Metazoa; Chordata; Mammalia; Primates; Hominidae. The record is from RNAcentral.